CUCAGGCUGCUCCCAUGCAUGCAGGCUGGCUGGAGCGCACGGAUCAGCCGAGCUCUAGCGCCUACUGCCAAACACUUUCUUGGCCGCUGAUGGUACUUUUCUCCCUUUUUUCUUUACGUGGCCUGAUAGGAGCUAUUUAAAUCAGCCACGCAGCGAAUCAGACUUGUCUCCCAACACUGCGCUCCGCUCUCCUUCCUGCGCCUCAAGUGACCGGAGAGGCGCAAAUUCCUCCCCAAGCGCUGUCCCUUUUUUUCUGGCAGGAAUAAAGUACUUUUGUUUGUUUUGUUUUUUUACAGGCAAUCCUCAGGGUGGACCACGGUGGUGAAAACAAAGGAUACAGGAUUCUUGAAGAGGGAAUGGAAGAACAAGGGAGGGCAAUAAGGGUCGGUGCUGAGAUUUACAUGAUGCGUUGUGAUCCAUUUGACCUGAACUGUAAGCAAGGAAUUACCUGGGUAUGAAAGAGCACAUGCACACGCGCACGCACACACACACACACACGUUUCCAUGACUUAAACACAUUAUUUUGACUUAAUCCAGGAGACGUAACCCAAGUCUUCACCGUAAAAUUUAAUAAUGUACUUUAUGUGGUCCGAUAUUUUGGUCCCCGACAAAUUUGAUGCACCCCAUCCCCUGUUUGAGAAAAAUACACGUCACCUUCGCUACAAAGGAACACACUCAUUUGUUAAAUGGAGCGAACUUAUCACUCUAUGCUAAGUGGAAGUUUCAGUCUUCUCCUCUGCCUUCUUCUCUCGUCUGUCCAUGUCAUCCUUAUUAUUCCACUUUCUCAUCACCCAUCAGUUAGCCUCAUACACACACACACCUCUAGACAUCACAUCAGCCAUCAGUUUGCCCGACAGACAUAAAUGUACAUCUUCACAUUCACACACUCCUUUACAUCACACGUCACAUCACAAGGAGAAAAGUGUGUGAGUGUGUGUGUGUGUGUGUGAGAGUGAGUGGGGGGGGGUUGUCGGCAGCGGAAGGGGUUGACAGGAUGGAAGAGGAAGUACACAGGAAGUACAUUAGUUAUCACUCCCUUGUCUUCUCCACCUUUUCACUUCUUAUCACCACCCGACGUCUCAGACCCUGGACGAGCUGCUUCUUCUACACAUCCCACCCCUUCCCUUUCUCUCCCAGUCUCUGCCUUCCCACACACACACACACACACACACACACACGCCUCUAAAAAUGACUUCCGUGCUCCACUUUAGUGUCGGGCUCCGGGAUCUAGAUGACACUUGGCAAGCCGCAGAAGCCGCAAGACAACAGGAUGAAAUAUUUAAAUGAAAGAUGGCAGGGGUAGAGGAGGUGAAGGAAAGGAAAGAGAGAAAAAAACAAAAAAAAAAAAAAAAAAAAAUGAAGGGAAAGGAAAUGCACGACAGAGGACGAAGGGAAGGAGAGAUGUUCAAAUGGUGAGCGGAAUGUGAAGGAUUUCUUUUCUUGGCAAAGAGAGGAGCGGUGUGACAAGAAGUGUAGAUGAAUUGGCUUUCACCUAAAAAAAAUGUAGCCUGAAGAGAUAUUAACCAAUAUAGUAUGAGAUCACAUCGCUUUGUCUUGGAGUCAUCAGCAUGUCUCAGUGUGUGUCAGAGUACUUUAAGCAGUGUGCCAGCUCAGCUUCUUAAAGGAAGGCAAUGAAUCUAAAACAUGACCAAGUCAAAUUUCACUCUGUUAAAGCAAUUUAAGUUUUGACUCAUGCAAGACCAAAAAAAAAAAAAUACAAGGAAACACUUUCAGGUGUGUGUUUGUGGUUGUUCAUUUGUACAUGGUGGCUCGCUUGCUGUAUAAGUGUCCUUUAAUUAUUUUCUUAGCCAGUCGUGUGUGUAGAACUGCAUGCUGGUAGUACAUGUUUGUGUGUAGGCCUGCAUGUAUUUGCUUUAUAUGUAAAUGCAUGCGCUGCGGCUCCAUAAACAUGCAUGCGUGUGUUUGUAGCGUAAUUACUGACACGUGUGGAUCCAGUCACUGUUCAGUUCUACUUGUAAAGUGACUCAAUACAAAGCUAGACGUCGGCUGUCGGCCUGUCAGAGGAGUGAGUGAGUGGAUGGGCGCAUUAAAACACCAGCUAAAUAAUUCAAACGGAACAGUGUAUAACUUUGUGUUGUGUGUAGUAUUGAAAUAAUUGAUUUGUCAGAUGCAUUUUGGAAAGGAAAUCAAUAAACAAAUAAGGAUUUAAUGCAAAGUGUGUGUUGUCAUUUGUGUUAUCAAUGCCACUGUUCUGUAGGCGGUGUUGCUCUAGUGAAGUUUCAAUAUUCCUACAUUAUCAUAAAAAACACAGAAUCAAUGAAACUGAUGUCUAAAGGGUAAAAACAGAAAAAUAUAUAGUCAAAGGUGAUAUCACAAAAAAAGGGGGAAAAAAGCAGUAUAUCAUGAUUUAAGUUUAAGUUUUAUGGCAUAAAUUUCUAAGUGAAUGCAACGUGCACAUAAGCAAAAAAAAAAACAAAAAAAAAAAACCC
Molecule: long non-coding RNA, 2450 nt
Organism: Sphaeramia orbicularis (orbiculate cardinalfish)
Lineage: Eukaryota; Metazoa; Chordata; Actinopteri; Kurtiformes; Apogonidae
Exons: 3
Source: RefSeq, a predicted model, not a curated record